CUGUUCAGCUGCCUGGAACUCGUCACAUCGUGCAUGUGGUCGAGCCCAGUCUUCUAACACCCUUGAUUUUGAGCACCAUUUGUUUCCUCGGCGGGCCUGCCCGCCAGCGAGGACCCCAUAAACUCUUUGUAGUAGCAUCAUUUGUCUGAUAUACCAACAAAAAAUCA
This 167-nucleotide unclassified non-coding RNA is filed under the name uncultured Pleosporales. Its description in RNAcentral is "sequence contains ITS1". Lineage: Eukaryota; Fungi; Ascomycota; Dothideomycetes; Pleosporales. The record is from RNAcentral.